UGGGGAAUAUUGGACAAUGGGCGAAAGCCUGAUCCAGCCAUGCCGCGUGUGUGAAGAAGGCCUUUUGGUUGUAAAGCACUUUAAGCGAGGAGGAGGCUACUUAGAUUAAUACUCUAGGAUAGUGGACGUUACUCGCAGAAUAAGCACCGGCUAACUCUGUGCCAGCAGCCGCGGUAAUACAGAGGGUGCGAGCGUUAAUCGGAUUUACUGGGCGUAAAGCGUGCGUAGGCGGCUUCUUAAGUCGGAUGUGAAAUCCCUGAGCUUAACUUAGGAAUUGCAUUCGAUACUGGGAAGCUAGAGUAUGGGAGAGGAUGGCAGAAUUCCAGGUGUAGCGGUGAAAUGCGUAGAGAUCUGGAGGAAUACCGAUGGCGAAGGCAGCCAUCUGGCCUAAUACUGACGCGGAGGUACGAAAGCAUGGGGAGCAAACAGG
Molecule: ribosomal RNA, 430 nt
Filed under: Bacillota bacterium
Lineage: Bacteria; Bacillati; Bacillota
Description: Firmicutes bacterium partial 16S ribosomal RNA
Rfam family: Bacterial small subunit ribosomal RNA
Source: RNAcentral